GACGAACCGUGCGAACGUUGUUCGGAAUCACUGGGCUUAAAGGGCGCGUAGGCGGGCCAUCAAGUCAGGGGUGAAAUCCUCCAGCUCAACUGGAGAACAGCUUUUGAUACUGGUGGCCUCGAGGGGGGUAGGGGCAUGUGGAACUUCCGGUGGAGCGGUGAAAUGCGUAGAUAUCGGAAGGAACGCCGGUGGCGAAAGCGACGUGCUGGACCCUUUCUGACGCUGAGGCGCGAAAGCCAGGGGAGCAAACGGG
RNAcentral lists this ribosomal RNA (253 nucleotides) under uncultured bacterium. Its description in RNAcentral is "partial 16S ribosomal RNA". It matches the Rfam family "Bacterial small subunit ribosomal RNA", at positions 524 to 776 of the family's 1533-position model. The record is from RNAcentral.